Molecule: unclassified non-coding RNA, 240 nt
Filed under: soil metagenome
Description: partial contains 5.8S ribosomal RNA, internal transcribed spacer 2, and large subunit ribosomal RNA
Source: RNAcentral
AACGCACGAGACCUGCGGACCUGCGGAAGGAUCAUUACCGAGUUAUCAACUCCCAAACCCCUGUGAACAUACCCGAACGUUGCCUCGGCGGGACCGCCCCGGCGCCCCUAGCGGCCCGGAACCAGGCGCCCGCCGGAGGACCCAAACUCUUGCUUUAAACAGUGGCAUACUCUCUGAGUCUCACAAACAAAAAAUAAAUCAAAACUUUUAGCAACGGAUCUCUAGAUCGGAAGAGCACAC